This 782-nucleotide ribosomal RNA is filed under the name uncultured bacterium. RNAcentral's name for it is "bacterial SSU rRNA". It matches the Rfam family "Bacterial small subunit ribosomal RNA", at positions 8 to 796 of the family's 1533-position model. The record is from RNAcentral.
AGAGUUUGAUCAUGGCUCAGAAUCAACGCUGGCGGCGUGCCUAACACAUGCAAGUCGAGCGAGAAAAGGGUAGCAAUAUCCUGAGUAAAGCGGCGCACGGGUGAGUAACACGUGGGUAAUCUGCCCUGGAGUGGGGAAUAACACCGGGAAACCGGUGCUAAUACCGCAUACGAUCACGAGGUCUGCGGACUUUGUGAUGAAAGGAGCAAUUCGCUCUAGGAGGAGCCCGCGGCUGAUUAGCUAGUUGGUGAGGUAAUGGCUCACCAAGGCUACGAUCAGUAUCCGGUCUGAGAGGACGGUCGGACACACUGGAACUGAGACACGGUCCAGACUCCUACGGGAGGCAGCAGUGGGGAAUUUUUCGCAAUGGGGGCAACCCUGACGAAGCAACGCCGCGUGGGUGAUGAAGUAUCUCGGUACGUAAAACCCUUUCGACGGGGAAGAAACCGCAAGGUUGACGGUACCCGUAGAAGAAGCCCCGGCUAACUCCGUGCCAGCAGCCGCGGUAAUACGGGGGGGGCAAGCGUUGUUCGGAAUUACUGGGCGUAAAGGGUGCGUAGGCGGUCCGCUAAGUUGGAUGUGAAAACUCUGGGCUUAACCCAGAGCCUGCAUUCAAAACUGACGGGCUAGAGUUCUGGAGGGGGUAGCGGAAUUCCUGGUGUAGCGGUGAAAUGCGUAGAUAUCAGGAGGAACACCGGUGGCGAAGGCGGCUACCUGGACAGAAACUGACGCUGAGGCACGAAAGCUAGGGGAGCAAACAGGAUUAGAUACCCUAGUAGUCC